CGACCGGGGCGACAGCAAUAGUGAAGGUCAGGCUGAAGACCUUACCGGAUUAGCUGAGAGGUGGUGCAUGGCCGUCGCCAGUUCGUACUGUGAAGCAUCCUGUUAAGUCAGGCAACGAGCGAGACCCACGUCCACAGUUGCCAGCAGUACCCUCCGGGGUGAUGGGUACACUGGUGGAGACCGCCGCUGCUAAAGCGGAGGAAGGAAUGGGCAACGGUAGGUCAGUAUGCCCCGAAUCUCCCGGGCUACACGCGGGCUACAAUGGUUGGUACAAUGGGCAUCUACCCCGAAAGGUGAAGGCAAUCUCCUAAACCCAUCCGUAGUUCGGAUUGUGGGCUGCAACUCGCCCACAUGAAGCUGGAAUCUGUAGUAAUCGUGUCUCAAAAUGGCACGGUGAAUAUGUCCCUGCUCCUU
RNAcentral lists this ribosomal RNA (414 nucleotides) under uncultured Methanosaeta sp. RNAcentral's name for it is "bacterial SSU rRNA". It matches the Rfam family "Archaeal small subunit ribosomal RNA", at positions 922 to 1338 of the family's 1478-position model. Lineage: Archaea; Methanobacteriati; Methanobacteriota; Methanomicrobia; Methanotrichales; Methanotrichaceae. The record is from RNAcentral.